AACAGCUGCGGUAUUUUAACUGUACUAAGGUAGCAUAAUAAUUUGCCUUAUAAUUUGAGGCUAGAAUGAAUGGUUUGACGAAGGUUAAUCUGUCUCUAUUUUACUUUUUAGAAAUUAAUUUUCAUAGUGAAAAAGCUUGGAUUUUUUAAAGGGACGAGAAGACCCUAUUGAGCUUAUAAUUUUAUUAUCGUCAGUAGUUAUUAAUUUUAUCGGCGUUAUAUAAAUUUUAAUUGGGGUGAUUAAGGAAUAAAAAAGUUUAUAUGUGAGUAACUUCCUUAGAAGUAAUAAAUCGUUAGAUAAAGUAACCAAUAAAUUGUUAAAAUUAUUGCUUAUACUAUAGUUACCAUAGGGAUAACAGCGUAAUUUAUUUAGAGAGUUCUUAUUGAAAAAUAAGAUUGCGACCUCGAUGUUGGAUUAAAGUAACCUUAAGGUGUAGAAGCUUUAAUAAGGUAAAUCUGUUCGAUUUUUAAAACUUUACGUGAUCUGAGUUCAGAC
Molecule: ribosomal RNA, 495 nt
Filed under: Doryteuthis pleii
Lineage: Eukaryota; Metazoa; Mollusca; Cephalopoda; Myopsida; Loliginidae
Description: partial 16S ribosomal RNA
Rfam family: Bacterial large subunit ribosomal RNA
Source: RNAcentral